CUACGGGCGGCAGCAGUGGGGAAUAUUGCACAAUGGGCGCAAGCCUGAUGCAGCCAUGCCGCGUGUAUGAAGAAGGCCUUCGGGUUGUAAAGUACUUUCAGCGGGGAGGAAGGGAGUAAAGUUAAUACCUUUGCUCAUUGACGUUACCCGCAGAAGAAGCACCGGCUAACUCCGUGCCAGCAGCCGCGGUAAUACGGAGGGUGCAAGCGCUAAUCGGAAUUACUGGGCGUAAAGCGCACGCAGGCGGUUUGUUAAGUCAGAUGUGAAAUCCCCGGGCUCAACCUGGGAACUGCAUCUGAUACUGGCAAGCUGGAGUGUCGUAGAGGGGGGUAGAAUUCCAGGUGUAGCGGUGAAAUGCGUAGAGAUCUGGAGGAAUACCGGUGGCGAAGGCGGCCCCCUGGACGAAGACUGACGCUCAGGUGCGAAAGCGUGGGGAGCAAACAGGAUUAGAUACCCCAGUAGUC
RNAcentral lists this ribosomal RNA (464 nucleotides) under uncultured bacterium. RNAcentral's name for it is "partial 16S ribosomal RNA". It matches the Rfam family "Bacterial small subunit ribosomal RNA", at positions 339 to 795 of the family's 1533-position model. The record is from RNAcentral.